RNAcentral lists this unclassified non-coding RNA (377 nucleotides) under uncultured bacterium. RNAcentral describes it as "contains 16S-23S intergenic spacer region". The record is from RNAcentral.
UCCGAGUUGACCCCGGCAGUCUCCCAUGAGUCCCCGGCAUAACUCGCUGGCAACUAAGGAUAAGGGUUGCGCUCGUUGCGGGACUUAACCCAACAUCUCACGACACGAGCUGACGACGGCCAUGCACCACCUGUACACCUCGGACGAACCCACCGUGUUUCCACGGCUGAACGGUGUAUGUCAAGCCCAGGUAAGGUUCUUCGCGUUGCUUCGAAUUGAGCCACAUGCUCCGCCGCUUGUGCGGGCCCCCGUCAAUUCCUUUGAGUUUUAACCUUGCGGCCGUACUCCCCAGGCGGAGAACUUAACGCGUUAGCUGCGCCACUGAAAGAUUAAAGUUCUUCCAACGGCUAGUUCUCAUCGUUUAGGGCGUGGACUAC